RNAcentral lists this ribosomal RNA (394 nucleotides) under uncultured bacterium. Its description in RNAcentral is "bacterial SSU rRNA". It matches the Rfam family "Bacterial small subunit ribosomal RNA", at positions 505 to 898 of the family's 1533-position model. The record is from RNAcentral.
GUGUCAGCAGCCGCGGUAAUACGGAGGAUGCGAGCGUUAUCCGGAUUUAUUGGGUUUAAAGGGUGCGCAGGCGGGCUCUCAAGUCAGCGGUAAAAUCGCGGGGCUCAACCCCGCCGAGCCGUUGAAACUGGGGGCCUUGAGUGGGCGAGAGGCAUGCGGAAUGCGUGGUGUAGCGGUGAAAUGCAUAGAUAUCACGCAGAACGCCGAUUGCGAAGGCAGCAUGCCGGCGCCCUACUGACGCUGAGGCACGAAAGCGCGGGUAUCGAACAGGAUUAGAUACCCUGGUAGUCCGCGCCGUAAACGAUGAAUGCUAGGUGUCCGGGGCGAAUGGGCCCUGGGUGCCACAGCGAAAGCGUUAAGCAUUCCACCUGGGGAGUACGCCGGCAACGGUGAA